AGUGAACGCUGGCGGUAGGCCUAACACAUGCAAGUCGAACGGCAGCACAGUAAGAGCUUGCACUUACGGGUGGCGAGUGGCGGACGGGUGAGGAAUACAUCGGAAUCUACUUUUUCGUGGGGGAUAACGUAGGGAAACUUACGCUAAUACCGCAUACGACCUACGGGUGAAAGCAGGGGAUCUUCGGACCUUGCGCGAUUGAAUGAGCCGAUGUCGGAUUAGCUAGUUGGCGGGGUAAAGGCCCACCAAGGCGACGAUCCGUAGCUGGUCUGAGAGGAUGAUCAGCCACACUGGAACUGAGACACGGUCCAGACUCCUACGGGAGGCAGCAGUGGGGAAUAUUGGACAAUGGGCGCAAGCCUGAUCCAGCCAUACCGCGUGGGUGAAGAGGGCCUUCGGGUUGUAAAGCCCUUUUGUUGGGAAAGAAAAGCAGCAGGUUAAUACCCCGCUGUUCUGACGGUACCCAAAGAAUAAGCACCGGCUAACUUCGU
RNAcentral lists this ribosomal RNA (491 nucleotides) under uncultured bacterium. Its description in RNAcentral is "partial 16S ribosomal RNA". It matches the Rfam family "Bacterial small subunit ribosomal RNA", at positions 29 to 506 of the family's 1533-position model. The record is from RNAcentral.